Molecule: ribosomal RNA, 496 nt
Filed under: uncultured bacterium
Lineage: Bacteria
Description: SSU rRNA
Rfam family: Bacterial small subunit ribosomal RNA
Source: RNAcentral
AGGACGAACGCUGGCGGCGUGCUUAACACAUGCAAGUGGAGCGACGAACCAGGGCUUGCCCUGGGGCAGAGCCGCGAACGGGUGAGUAACACGUGGGUUACCUGCCUCGAUGACCGGGACAACCCGAGGAAACUCGGGCUAAUACCGGAUGUGCCCGCAAGGGGAAAGGAAGCUUCGGCCUCCGCAUCGAGAUGGGCCCGCGGCCCAUUAGCUUGUUGGUGAGGUAACGGCUCACCAAGGCUUCGAUGGGUAGCUGGUCUGAGAGGACGAUCAGCCACACUGGGACUGAGACACGGCCCAGACUCCUACGGGAGGCAGCAGUGGGGAAUCUUGCGCAAUGCGCGAAAGCGUGACGCAGCAACGCCGCGUGGGGGAAGACGGCUUUCGGGUUGUAAACCCCUUUCAGUUGGGACGAAGCCUCGACGGUGAAUAGCCGUUCGGGGUGACGGUACCUUCACAAGAAGCACCGGCUAACGUACGUGCCAGCAGCCGCGGU